CCUACGGGCGGCUGCAGUGGGGAAUAUUGGACAAUGGGCGAAAGCCUGAUCCAGCCAUGCCUCGUGUGUGAAGAAGGCCUUCGGGUUGUAAAGCACUUUCAGUGGGGAAGAAAGCCUUGGGGCUAAUACCCUCGAGGAAGGACAUCACCCACAGAAGAAGCACCGGCUAACUCCGUGCCAGCAGCCACGGUAAUACGGAGGGUGCGAGCGUUAAUCGGAAUUACUGGGCGUAAAGCGCGCGUAGGCGGUCUGAUAAGCCGGUUGUGAAAGCCCCGGGCUCAACCUGGGAACGGCAUCCGGAACUGUCAGGCUAGAGUGCAGGAGAGGAAGGUAGAAGUCCCGGUGUAGCGGUGAAAUGCGUAGAGAUCGGGAGGAAUACCAGUGGCGAAGGCGGCCUUCUGGACUGACACUGACGCUGAGGUGCGAAAGCGUGGGUAGCAAACAGGAUUAGAUACCCUAGUAGUC
RNAcentral lists this ribosomal RNA (465 nucleotides) under Vreelandella stevensii. Its description in RNAcentral is "partial 16S ribosomal RNA". It matches the Rfam family "Bacterial small subunit ribosomal RNA", at positions 338 to 795 of the family's 1533-position model. The record is from RNAcentral. Lineage: Bacteria; Pseudomonadati; Pseudomonadota; Gammaproteobacteria; Oceanospirillales; Halomonadaceae.